UGUGCAACCCAGUGCAGCAGCCCAAGCUGCACUGGCUGCUGCACUGUGUGCAGCUUGGGCUGCUGCACUGGGUUGCACAGAGGUGCAGCAGCUAGUCUAGCUGCUGCACUGUGUGCAACCCAGUGCAGCAGCCCAAGCUGCACU
This is a small nucleolar RNA of Quercus robur (English oak), 144 nucleotides long. RefSeq annotates it as small nucleolar RNA SNORA17. The record is from RefSeq and is a predicted model, not a curated record. NCBI's taxonomy places the organism in Eukaryota, Viridiplantae, Streptophyta, Magnoliopsida, Fagales, Fagaceae. The transcript has a single exon.